RNAcentral lists this ribosomal RNA (465 nucleotides) under uncultured bacterium. RNAcentral's name for it is "partial 16S ribosomal RNA". It matches the Rfam family "Bacterial small subunit ribosomal RNA", at positions 28 to 507 of the family's 1533-position model. The record is from RNAcentral.
GACGAACGCUGGCGGCGUGCUUAACACAUGCAAGUCGAACGGAAAGGCCCUGCUUGCAGGGUACUCGAGUGGCGAACGGGUGAGUAACACGUGGGUGAUCUGCCCUGCACUUCGGGAUAAGCCUGGGAAACUGGGUCUAAUACCGGAUAUGACCUUCCAUGUAGUGUGGGGGGUGGAAAGAUUUAUCGGUGUGGGAUGAGCCCGCGGCCUAUCAGCUUGUUGGUGGGGUAAUGGCCUACCAAGGCGUCGACGGGUAGCCGACCUGAGAGGGUGGACGGCCACAUUGGGACUGAGAUACGGCCCAGACUCCUACGGGAGGCAGCAGUGGGGAAUAUUGCACAAUGGGCGGAAGCCUUAUGCAGCGACGCCGCGUGGGGGAUGACGGCCUUCGGGUUGUAAACCUCUUUCGACAGGGACGAAGCUUCGGUGACGGUACCUGUAGAAGAAGCACCGGCUAACUACGUG